AACGAACGCUGGCGGCAUGCCUAACACAUGCAAGUCGAACGAGACCUUCGGGUCUAGUGGCGCACGGGUGCGUAACGCGUGGGAACCUGCCCUUAGGUUCGGAAUAACUCCCCGAAAGGGGUGCUAAUACCGGAUAAUGUCUUCGGACCAAAGAUUUAUCGCCUUUGGAUGGGCCCGCGUUUGAUUAGCUAGUUGGUAGGGUAAAAGCCUACCAAGGCGACGAUCCAUAGCUGGUCUGAGAGGAUGAUCAGCCACACUGGGACUGAGACACGGCCCAGACUCCUACGGGAGGCAGAAGUGGGGAAUAUUGGACAAUGGGCGAAAGACUGAUCAAGCAAUGCCGCGUGAGUGAUGAAGGCCUUAGGGUUGUAAAGCUCUUUUGCCCGGGAUGAUAAUGACAGUACCGGGAGAAUAAGCUCCGGCUAACUCCGUG
This 433-nucleotide ribosomal RNA is filed under the name uncultured bacterium. RNAcentral describes it as "partial 16S ribosomal RNA". It matches the Rfam family "Bacterial small subunit ribosomal RNA", at positions 29 to 507 of the family's 1533-position model. The record is from RNAcentral.